Molecule: transfer RNA, 87 nt
Filed under: Candidatus Giovannonibacteria bacterium RIFCSPHIGHO2_01_FULL_48_47
Lineage: Bacteria; Candidatus Giovannoniibacteriota
Also listed under: 5 other names
Description: tRNA-Ser
Rfam family: tRNA
About the family: Transfer RNA (tRNA) molecules are approximately 80 nucleotides in length.
Source: RNAcentral
GGUAGGGUGGCCGAGUGGUUUAAGGCGGCAGUCUUGAAAACUGCUGUGUCAGAAAUGGCACCGUGAGUUCGAAUCUCACCCCUACCG